Molecule: ribosomal RNA, 369 nt
Filed under: uncultured Anoxybacillus sp.
Lineage: Bacteria; Bacillati; Bacillota; Bacilli; Caryophanales; Anoxybacillaceae
Description: bacterial SSU rRNA
Rfam family: Bacterial small subunit ribosomal RNA
Source: RNAcentral
UUCCCCGUUCGGGGGACAGGGUGACAGGUGGUGCAUGGUUGUCGUCAGCUCGUGUCGUGAGAUGUUGGGUUAAGUCCCGCAACGAGCGCAACCCUCGACCUUUAGUUGCCAGCAUUCAGUUGGGCGCUCUAAGGUGACUGCCGGCUAAAGUCGGAGAAGGUGGGGAUGACGUCAAAUCAUCAUGCCCCUUAUGACCUGGGCUACACACGUGCUACAAUGGGCGGUACAAAGGGUCGCGAACCCGCGAGGGGGAGCCAAUCCCAAAAAGCCGCUCUCAGUUCGGAUUGCAGGCUGCAACUCGCCUGCAUGAAGCCGGAAUCGCUAGUAAUCGCGGAUCAGCACGCUGCGGUGAAUACGUUCCCGGGCCUU